Molecule: long non-coding RNA, 217 nt
Filed under: Gossypium barbadense (sea-island cotton)
Lineage: Eukaryota; Viridiplantae; Streptophyta; Magnoliopsida; Malvales; Malvaceae
Description: long non-coding RNA (GBAR_LNC000728)
Source: RNAcentral
AUUGUUGGCAAUAGGUAUUAAGAAAGUUAAAUUGAUAAUUUGUGAGUAUUGGUAUGUUUGUGAAGUUAGGCCAAAUAAUGCAUAUAUGAGUUUGGUCAUUUUGAUGUUUGAAGUAAUUGAUUUAUGGUAUAUAUAUGAAUGCUUUGGAAAUGUGAAUUGUCAUGAUUUGAGUAGGCAAAGUAAGGUGUUGAAAGUAUGUUAGAUGUUGGUAUUGGAA